UCUCACAGACCAAACUGGUGUAUCAGCUGGCAGAACUGCACUGUCGCCAAUGAAGCUCUUCCAAUUCACAUCAGCAGAUGAUCUGGCUUUGUCCUUCCCUUUCAGGAAAAGCAUUCUCUAUGCUGGAAAUUGUGGAAGCGGCUGACAGCUGGUCUGUGAGCCAGAGGAGUGAGCUGACAGAAGAAAUUUAUAAGAUUCGUGUUUACCCAUGAAGGAAAAAAGAAGACAAGGUUGUUCACAUGGGAACCAAGAGAACAGGGAUAAACACCAGACACCUGCAGUU
Non-coding RNA from Sturnus vulgaris (Common starling), 283 nucleotides. NCBI's taxonomy places the organism in Eukaryota, Metazoa, Chordata, Aves, Passeriformes, Sturnidae. The record is from RefSeq and is a predicted model, not a curated record.